Molecule: long non-coding RNA, 2652 nt
Filed under: Daucus carota (carrot)
Lineage: Eukaryota; Viridiplantae; Streptophyta; Magnoliopsida; Apiales; Apiaceae
Description: long non-coding RNA (DCAR_LNC007546)
Source: RNAcentral
UCUUAUCUUAUUACAACUUAAACUACAUUAUCAAUUAAACCUCGAUAAGAAGAAUAACUGAUAACCAAAUAAAUAAAUCUAUUUACAACUGAACUGAAAUAGAACAAUUCUAACCAUAACUAGCCUCGUAGACAUCUCACUGGAAAUCUCGCCUAGCGUCAAUCUUACGCGCGUCUUACACAGGUCAAUCAUCUUACCCCCUAGCUGAAAGGGUUAGAAAUAAUAGCAAGAGUGAGCGAAAAUGCUCAGCAAGAUAAUAUAAAAGGUAAGAGCCACAAGAUAUAAUUUGUUUUGAAUUAAAUCAGAGUAUUUGAAAUAAAGCAAACUUUGGAAGUAAAUCAUAACAGUUGUAACUCAAAGAUUAGCACAGCAACAACAAAGGAAGAAUGAGCAACUAGAAGGCUCAACGAUAUAUAUAUAAAAUGCUUAAAUGUAAAGCAUUAAUAAGUGCUAUUCUUCGGGAAGUAAAAGAUAAGGAAUAAUGGUCUCUCAUGGAAAACGAAAGCAAUAUUAGCUUAAGUAAUCAAAUUAUAAAUUUUGAUUUCAACUUUCACUGACGGGUGUACUAUCACAGCUGAUCAGCACGUGUAAUAGUACGGGAUCACACUUCGUAGAAGCAUGUCCUAAUUCACAGGUACCAAAUAUAAGGCAACACAUUGGCCUUUGGCAGAAAAGUAUUAUCAUAUUUCAAUAAUACCCAAAUAGCCCUUCACUGGACCGCCGUCCCGGCCUCUUACGCAAAAAUGUUUUAUUUUUCUUAGGGAGUUGAAUCACUCAACUCUCUCGAUCAACAAACUCGCCAUUUCACAUGGUCCGGAGUAAUCAUAUCAACUGAUGGCAACAUAACUAGAAUAGUUAGUUAUUUGCUAAUUAUGAACUUUAACUCGGUACUGUUUGGAGUAUAUCUGGAUAGCAUAGUUUUCCACUAUCUAUCUUAGAAGUAAUUCGAGAAUUCUAGUAGAAUGAUUACUAGAAUGUAGUGAAUUCAAUCAUUGGAAUGUAUUGAAUUCAAUCAUUAUUUGAGUAUCUGUAUGGUGUAUGGAAUAUUGAACAACAAUUAAAUCCCAAGCAUAUGAUAUUCUAUGAAUUGAAAUACAGAAUAUAAUAAUUGCAUUGGCAAUAAUUAAAAGUUGUGGAAUAAAUCACUUGCUCUUAAUAAAUAAGAGAAGAAUAGAAAUACUUGCCUUAACUCCAGUGUCUAACUCAGAUUUCUAAUAGUACUAUCUGCUGAACUAUUCCCUUCUGCUUAGUCUAUGACAGACUUAAUAGAGUAUCCAUAGCACAGCUUCACUUCAUUGGUUUAUGCCAGCCUCGCUCCACGAUACUAUUCACUAUUUCUGAACAUCCCAGUCGACUCUGUACGACAGUAAGACAAUACUUCAAUCGUCGGAUCAAACGAAACUAAUUACUAAAUGCUAUUAGAAUCUGCAACUAACUACCCUUCGCAUAUCCAUAUAUAGUAAACAAAAAAAUAUAUAUAGACAUCCACAUAAUAAUAUAUAUACACUGGAUCAGUCAGACAAAUAACCACAUAAUCAAGAAACAUACAUAUUCUAUCCAACUAUAAUAUAAUGCUAUUAACUGUCAAAUAUCUAUUUAUAGACAGAAUAAACUUAAUUUCUAAAGAAAAUUUCGGCAUGAAGUAUUCGUAAAUAGGACUAUCUCCCUGUUUUCAAAUCAAUCAAAUCAAGCUCUUUACACUAAAUAAAAUACUAAUAUAAAGAAAAUCUGCCUCGACAUGCAGUAAAUCACAUAAGAAAAGUACCCGCCCCGACAUGCGGCACCUAACACAUAAUGAUAAAUAAUCCGCCCAGACAUGCGGCACCUAAACACAUAAUGAUUGAAAGAAACUAACAGCUUAUCUUUAAAACGGAAAGUAAUUCAAUAUUAAUACAUUAUACUAUCAAGAAUAACACUCUAACAUUUAACACGUAGCACUUAGCAGGUAUCACAUAUUUCCAUACAUUUACUUACCACUUACCAUAAUACUCAAUUUAGAUACUUAAACUUAUCAUAUAAUUGAAUUCAAAUAUCUUAUUGGAAAAUAUCUCAAAUACUAGGUUACAUAAUCACAUAGCCCACGUAGGCACUUAGCAGUUAGCACGUAGCAUCUAUUUCCCUAACAAUGCUUAUUAUCACUUAGCAACCAUAUCAACAUAUUUCAACUAGAACACUUAUUAGGAAUUUUAUUCUAGAUGCAAGUCCCUAAAACAGAGCAUACUAUUCAAUUCAAUUUGCAAGUUGAAUUAAAUAAGCAUAGCAUUAUAACUAUUUAAGAUAUCACAUAUUUAUAUUAUUAAUAUUAUUAUUUACUAUUAUUACUACUAGUGAAAGUAAUAAUAAUAAUAAAGAAUAAUACUAAUAUAUAUUAAUAUUCGACAUCCUAAAAUUACCAAGUAAACACAGUUUCACACAUUAACAUUAAUAAUAAUGCUAUGUAGUACUGCUAUUACUACCAAAUCACAUAAAUAUUAUUUAUAGAUUUUAUAGAAAUAUCACAAAUCAGUAACUAUGUAAAUUCGAUUAAUAGUCCGAUAAUUAUAGGAUACGCCCCCGUAAAAUUUUAAAAUCUAAAUUUUAUUUAAAAAUCGGGCAGCACCUCCUCUAUUUAUCGGACUACCAGUCGAUAUCAUCUCGACACCAACAGUCACA